This 507-nucleotide ribosomal RNA is filed under the name Vibrio parahaemolyticus. RNAcentral describes it as "bacterial SSU rRNA". It matches the Rfam family "Bacterial small subunit ribosomal RNA", at positions 399 to 898 of the family's 1533-position model. The record is from RNAcentral. Lineage: Bacteria; Pseudomonadati; Pseudomonadota; Gammaproteobacteria; Vibrionales; Vibrionaceae.
GCGUGUGUGAAGAAGGCCUUCGGGUUGUAAAGCACUUUCAGUCGUGAGGAAGGUAGUGUAGUUAAUAGCUGCAUUAUUUGACGUUAGCGACAGAAGAAGCACCGGCUAACUCCGUGCCAGCAGCCGCGGUAAUACGGAGGGUGCGAGCGUUAAUCGGAAUUACUGGGCGUAAAGCGCAUGCAGGUGGUUUGUUAAGUCAGAUGUGAAAGCCCGGGGCUCAACCUCGGAAUUGCAUUUGAAACUGGCAGACUAGAGUACUGUAGAGGGGGGUAGAAUUUCAGGUGUAGCGGUGAAAUGCGUAGAGAUCUGAAGGAAUACCGGUGGCGAAGGCGGCCCCCUGGACAGAUACUGACACUCAGAUGCGAAAGCGUGGGGAGCAAACAGGAUUAGAUACCCUGGUAGUCCACGCCGUAAACGAUGUCUACUUGGAGGUUGUGGCCUUGAGCCGUGGCUUUCGGAGCUAACGCGUUAAGUAGACCGCCUGGGGAGUACGGUCGCAAGAUUAAA